RNAcentral lists this ribosomal RNA (460 nucleotides) under uncultured bacterium. RNAcentral's name for it is "partial 16S ribosomal RNA". It matches the Rfam family "Bacterial small subunit ribosomal RNA", at positions 338 to 795 of the family's 1533-position model. The record is from RNAcentral.
CCUACGGGUGGCUGCAGUGAGGAAUAUUGGUCAAUGGACGCAAGUCUGAACCAGCCAUGCCGCGUGAAGGAAGACGGCUCUAUGAGUUGUAAACUGCUUUUGUACGAGGGUAAAUCCCGAUACGUGUAUCGGGUUGCAAGUAUCGUACGAAUAAGGAUCGGCUAACUCCGUGCCAGCCGCCGCGGUAAUACGGAGGGUUCAAGCGUUAUCCGGAUUUAUUGGGGUUAAAGGGUGCGUAGGCGGUCCGAUAAGUUAGAGGUGAAAUCCCGGGGCGCAACUCCGGCACUGCCUCUGAUACUGUCUGGCUAGAGUUGAGUUGCGGUAGGCGGAAUGCAGGGUGUAGCGGUGAAAUGCAUAGAGAUCAUACAGAACACCGAUUGCGAAGGCAGCGUACCAAACUACGACUGACGUUGAGGCACGAAAGCGUGGGGAGCAAACAGGAUUAGAUACCCGUGUAGUC